UAUAUUGUUACUCAAAAUUUUAAAAUUUUAUACUAUUAUUUUUUUUUGUGGAGCAAAAUACUAUAAAAUUAGCAUAUGGAAAAUUUAAUAUCAUCAAGUUCUGGAAGUGAAGUAGAUUUUGAGUCAGAUAAUGAUUAUUUGUAUAACAGCAAUCACAACUCGGAGACAGAGAAGGACAAUAUAGAUAGUGAUGUGUGUGAAGAUAGCUAUAAAUAUUGUUACAGUAAAGAUGGAAAAACUAAAUGGAAUAUGGAAUGCCCUACACAAAAAAGGACAAGAUCCCAUAAUAUAAUAUCAUGUUUGCCAGGGG
Molecule: long non-coding RNA, 310 nt
Organism: Gordionus sp. m RMFG-2023
Lineage: Eukaryota; Metazoa; Nematomorpha; Gordioida; Chordodea; Parachordodidae
Exons: 3
Source: RefSeq, a predicted model, not a curated record